AUGACUACCUGCUUCGUUGAUAUAAUAAAAGAUCAUUCCCUGGACUUCCUUGGUAUCCAGGAAACUAAGAAGAAGAACUUCACCCCUAAUCUCCUUAGAAAAAUUGACCCUCUUGAUAAGUUAAAUUGGAACUGGAUCCCUUCGAUUGGUAAGUCUGGAGGCAUAUUGUGUGGGACUAGGAGAGAAACCAUGGAGAUUAUUUCCUGGUCGGGGGGUGAAUUCCUUAUGCAGACUAUUGUCUUUGAUGUGAACCUCAAAUGUGUGUGGACCCUAGUGGUGGUAUAUGGGGCAGCCCAAAAAGAGAGAAAAAAUGAUUUCCUUGCAGAAUUGGCUACGACAUGUGCCACGAUUAGUAAUCCUUAUGUGGUUGGUGGUGAUUUUAAUAUCUUACGUGAAAGUGGUGACAAGAAUAAAAAAUUAACCUACUCCCAAUAUAUAGAUAGCUUCAACGCUAUCAUUCAGUCCCUGAACCUUAGAGAGAUUCAUAUGGGAGGGGGAAAAUACACCUGGACCAAUAAGCAAAAACACCCUACACUGGAGAAAUUGGACAGAAUCCUUAUGAACCCUACUUGGGAAGAUCUAUUCCCUAUGGUUACAGUUCGUAAGUUGGUAUGAGAUGUCUCAGACCACAACCCGUUGUUGCUGUCGACGAACCCUAUUAGAAAAAAUCCCACCCGGCAGCGCGAAUUCAGAUUCGAGCUGAGCUGGCUUAAGAAUGAGGAUUUCUUUAGGACGGCUAAAAAGAUUUGGGAAAGACCUGUGCAUUCUGAUGACCCUAUCGAUAUCCUUAAUAUCAAGUUGAAACGCCUCAAGAAAUAUUAUAAAGGGUGGGGGGGCACAUUCCUUUGGGCAUGCUAG
Molecule: ribosomal RNA, 858 nt
Filed under: Triticum aestivum (bread wheat)
Lineage: Eukaryota; Viridiplantae; Streptophyta; Magnoliopsida; Poales; Poaceae
Description: partial small subunit ribosomal RNA
Source: RNAcentral